AAAAACUCCGGUGGUAUGAGAUGGGCCCGCGUCUGAUUAGCUAGUUGGCGGGGUAACGGCCCACCAAGGCGACGAUCAGUAGCCGACCUGAGAGGGUGACCGGCCACAUUGGGACUGAGACACGGCCCAAACUCCUACGGGAGGCAGCAGUGGGGAAUAUUGCACAAUGGGGGAAACCCUGAUGCAGCGACGCCGCGUGAGCGAUGAAGUAUUUCGGUAUGUAAAGCUCUAUCAGCAGGGAAGAAGAUGGCGGUACCUGACUAAGAAGCCCCGGCUAACUACGUGCCAGCAGCCGCGGUAAUACGUAGGGGGCAAGCGUUAUCCGGAUUUACUGGGUGUAAAGGGAGCGUAGACGGCGGUGCAAGCCAGAUGUGAAAGCCCGGGGCUCAACCCCGGGACUGCAUUUGGAACUGUAUGGCUGGAGUGUCGGAGAGGCAGGCGGAAUUCCUAGUGUAGCGGUGAAAUGCGUAGAUAUUAGGAGGAACACCAGUGGCGAAGGCGGCCUGCUGGACGAUGACUGACGUUGAGGCUCGAAAGCGUGGGGAGCAAACAGGAUUAGAUACCCUGGUAGUCCACGCCGUAAACGAUGACUACUAGGUGUCGGGCAGCAAAGCUGUUCG
RNAcentral lists this ribosomal RNA (620 nucleotides) under uncultured bacterium. RNAcentral's name for it is "bacterial SSU rRNA". It matches the Rfam family "Bacterial small subunit ribosomal RNA", at positions 202 to 842 of the family's 1533-position model. The record is from RNAcentral.